RNAcentral lists this ribosomal RNA (282 nucleotides) under uncultured bacterium. RNAcentral's name for it is "partial 16S ribosomal RNA". The record is from RNAcentral.
CUGCUGCCUCCCGUAGGAGUCUGGACCGUGUCUCAGUUCCAGUGUGGGGGGCCUUCCUCUCAGAACCCCUACGCAUCGUCGCCACGGUGGGCCGUUACCCCGCCGUCAAGCUAAUGCGCCGCAUGCCCAGCCGCCACCGGAUUCCUCCUUUCGCCCGGACCGGAUGCCCGGUCCGGCGGCAUGGGGUAUUAGGCCGGGUUUCCCCGGGUUAUCCCCCUGUGGCGGGCAGGUUCCAUACGUGUUACUCACCCGUGCGCCGGUCGCCGGCAGGCGCAGGCAACG